UAGUGCCUACGGGACGCAGCAGUGGGGAAUAUUGCACAAUGGGGGAAACCCUGAUGCAGCGACGCCGCGUGAGCGAAGAAGUAUUUCGGUAUGUAAAGCUCUAUCAGCAGGGAAGAAAAAUGACGGUACCUGAGUAAGAAGCACCGGCUAAAUACGCGCCAGCAGCCGCGGUAAUACGUAUGGCGCAAGCGUUAUCCGGAUUUACUGGGUGUAAAGGGAGCGCAGGCGGGGGGG
This 234-nucleotide ribosomal RNA is filed under the name uncultured bacterium. Its description in RNAcentral is "partial 16S ribosomal RNA". It matches the Rfam family "Bacterial small subunit ribosomal RNA", at positions 334 to 583 of the family's 1533-position model. The record is from RNAcentral.